Molecule: transfer RNA, 89 nt
Filed under: Ilumatobacter sp.
Lineage: Bacteria; Bacillati; Actinomycetota; Acidimicrobiia; Acidimicrobiales; Ilumatobacteraceae
Also listed under: 1 other name
Description: tRNA-Ser
Rfam family: tRNA
About the family: Transfer RNA (tRNA) molecules are approximately 80 nucleotides in length. Their secondary structure includes four short double-helical elements and three loops (D, anti-codon, and T loops).
Source: RNAcentral
GGAGAGGUGCCAGAGCGGCCGAAUGGGACGCCCUGCUAAGGCGUUGACCGCCGUGAGGUGGUCCGUGGGUUCAAAUCCCACCCUCUCCG